GUUUCCCUUAAAGAGGAAACCCAGUUCCACCAGGAGCUCCCUACCCGCUUAUCUGUUUUUUAUUUUAUAUUUUUUAUUUUUUUGAGACGGAGUCUAGCUCUGUCGCCCAGGCUGGAGUGCAGUGGCACGAUCUCGGCUCACUGUAACCUCCGCCUCCCGGGUUCCAGCGAUUCUCUUGCCUCAGCCUCCUGAGUAGCUGGGAUUACAGGUGCACGCCAUCACGCCCGGCUAAUUUUUGUAUUUUUAGUAGAGACGGGGUUUCACCGUGUUGGCCAGGCUGGUUUCGAUGUCCUAAUCUCAGGUGAUCCGCCCGCCUCGGACUCCCAAAGUACUGGAAUUACAGGCGUGAACCACCGCGCCCAGCCUUACCUGUUUUUUUUUUUUUUUUUUUUUUUUUUUUUUUUUUUUUAAAGUUUGAACGUUACAGAUUUAGAAGUUUAGCUUUCCUGCGCUGUACAGAAACGAUGACCUCACUGCACCUGUGAAGAAAGAGCUGCCCCAGAAAAGGCAGUCUUAGGGUUGGGGAGUUGGCCUAGGAUUGGAAUUUGAUUUGAGAUUUUAGGCCUGAGAGGCUACGAUGGAGGACGGGUGUUUCUGAUAGAAGAUUUCUGGGAUCGAGCACUUGCAGUCCAACGAAACAAUCAUCUGGUCUGCUGGAGUCAAGCAGCAGGUGCAGCUGGCAAUCUGACCUGCUGCUAGGUUUGCCAUCACUGUCCUUGGGUGACAAAAACAGAAAAAAGCAUGUGAGCACGGCUGCUCCUGAAUUACUCUGCUGUGCCUGAUGCCAUCAACAGCAGCUCCUGAAGACAGGCUUCCCUCAUACCUGUAGACAUACAUGGACCAGCACAACCUUGUUUAGAUCUGGCUGAUCCAAAUUCAUCUGCUUCUCCUGGCACUCGAGUGGUCUUGGAUUAUGCCAUGUUUAGCAAUUGAGCUACAAGUACUAAGAUGCUACUUGCUAUAGGUGGAAUGUUUAUGUUACCUCAAAAUUCAUAUGUUGGAAUCCUAAGCCCCAAGGUAUUAGAAGGUAGGGCCUUUGGGAGGUGAUUAGGUCUUGAGGGCAGAGCCCUCAUGAGAGGAAUUAGUGCCCUUAUAAAUGGGACCCCAGAGUGCUUGCUCCCUUGUCAUUUUCUCCAUGUCAGGACACAGUGAGAGGAUGGCCAUCUGUGAACCAGGAAGUGGACCCUCACCAGAUGCAGAAAUCUGCUGGCAACUUGAUCUUGGACUUCCAGCCUCCAGACCUGUGAGAAAUAAACUUGUUGGUUAUAUG
Molecule: long non-coding RNA, 1270 nt
Filed under: Macaca mulatta (Rhesus monkey)
Lineage: Eukaryota; Metazoa; Chordata; Mammalia; Primates; Cercopithecidae
Description: lncRNA (ENSMMUG00000057620.1)
Source: RNAcentral